RNAcentral lists this ribosomal RNA (253 nucleotides) under uncultured bacterium. RNAcentral describes it as "partial 16S ribosomal RNA". It matches the Rfam family "Bacterial small subunit ribosomal RNA", at positions 524 to 776 of the family's 1533-position model. The record is from RNAcentral.
UACGGAGGGGGCGAGCGUUAUUCGGAAUUAUUGGGCGUAAAGGGCGCGUAGGCGGCCCGGUAAGUCAAAGGUGAAAUCCCUCGGCUCAACUGAGGAACUGCCUUUGAAGCUGUCGGGCUUGAGGCCGGGAGGGGGUAGCGGAAUUCCCAGUGUAGCGGUGAAAUGCGUAGAUAUUGGGAGGAACACCGGUGGCGAAGGCGGCUACCUGGACCGGUUCUGACGCUGAUGCGCGAAAGCGUGGGUAGCAGACAGG